AUGCUUAAAGUUGAUCUUCCAAAAGCUUUUGAUCGUAUUGAAUGGAAUUUCAUUGUUUCCGCUCUUGAACGUAAAGGAUUGCAUGCUCAUUUCAUUAAUUUAAUUUAUGCAUGCAUCUCCUCGCCUUCGUUCUCAGUCAUUAUCAAUGAUCAACCAACUCAUAGAUUUAAAAGUAACAGGGGUAUUAGGCAAGGAUGUCCUAUGUCCCCCUAUCUUUUUGUGCCUGCCAUUAAUGAACUUUCUCUUACUCUCAAUGAUGCCAUGGCUGCUAACCACCUUCACGGUAUUUUGCUUGGGCCAAAUUGCCCCCCUGUCCACUAUUUGCUCUUUGCAGAUGACCUUCUGGUAUGUGGCCCGCUAAUUUGCAAGAAGCUAGUAUGA
RNAcentral lists this ribosomal RNA (381 nucleotides) under Triticum aestivum (bread wheat). RNAcentral's name for it is "partial small subunit ribosomal RNA". The record is from RNAcentral. Lineage: Eukaryota; Viridiplantae; Streptophyta; Magnoliopsida; Poales; Poaceae.